RNAcentral lists this ribosomal RNA (460 nucleotides) under uncultured bacterium. RNAcentral describes it as "partial 16S ribosomal RNA". It matches the Rfam family "Bacterial small subunit ribosomal RNA", at positions 338 to 795 of the family's 1533-position model. The record is from RNAcentral.
CCUACGGGUGGCAGCAGUGAGGAAUAUUGGUCAAUGGACGAGAGUCUGAACCAGCCAAGUAGCGUGAAGGAUGACUGCCCUAUGGGUUGUAAACUUCUUUUAUAAAGGAAUAAAACGAGGCACGUGUGCCUUUUUGCAUGUACUUUAUGAAUAAGGAUCGGCUAACUCCGUGCCAGCAGCCGCGGUAAUACGGAGGAUCCGAGCGUUAUCCGGAUUUAUUGGGUUUAAAGGGAGCGUAGAUGGGUUGUUAAGUCAGUUGUGAAAGUUUGCGGCUCAACCGUAAAAGUGCAAUUGAUACUGGCAGUCGUGAGUACAGUUGAGGUAGGCGGAAUUCGUGGUGUAGCGGUGAAAUGCUUAGAUAUCACGAAGAACCCCGAUUGCGAAGGCAGCUUACUAAACUGUGACUGACAUUGAUGCUCGAAAGUGUGGGUAUCAAACAGGAUUAGAUACCCUAGUAGUC